This 394-nucleotide ribosomal RNA is filed under the name uncultured bacterium. Its description in RNAcentral is "bacterial SSU rRNA". It matches the Rfam family "Bacterial small subunit ribosomal RNA", at positions 29 to 424 of the family's 1533-position model. The record is from RNAcentral.
AUUGAACGCUGGCGGCAUGCCUUACACAUGCAAGUCGAACGGCAGCGCGGGAGCAAUCCUGGCGGCGAGUGGCGAACGGGUGAGUAAUACAUCGGAACGUGCCCAAUCGUGGGGGAUAACGCAGCGAAAGCUGUGCUAAUACCGCAUACGAUCUACGGAUGAAAGCAGGGGAUCGCAAGACCUUGCGCGAAUGGAGCGGCCGAUGGCAGAUUAGGUAGUUGGUGAGGUAAAGGCUCACCAAGCCUUCGAUCUGUAGCUGGUCUGAGAGGACGACCAGCCACACUGGGACUGAGACACGGCCCAGACUCCUACGGGAGGCAGCAGUGGGGAAUUUUGGACAAUGGGCGAAAGCCUGAUCCAGCCAUGCCGCGUGCAGGAUGAAGGCCUUCGGGUU